UACUCGAGUGGCGAACGGGUGAGUAACACGUGGGUGAUCUGCCCUGCACUUCGGGAUAAGCCUGGGAAACUGGGUCUAAUACCGGAUAGGACGAUGGUUUGGAUGCCAUUGUGGAAAGUUUUUCGGUGUGGGAUGAGCUCGCGGCCUAUCAGCUUGUUGGUGGGGUAAUGGCCUACCAAGGCGGCGACGGGUAGCCGGCCUGAGAGGGUGGACGGCCACAUUGGGACUGAGAUACGGCCCAG
RNAcentral lists this ribosomal RNA (242 nucleotides) under uncultured Actinomycetales bacterium. Its description in RNAcentral is "partial 16S ribosomal RNA". It matches the Rfam family "Bacterial small subunit ribosomal RNA", at positions 88 to 334 of the family's 1533-position model. The record is from RNAcentral. Lineage: Bacteria; Bacillati; Actinomycetota; Actinomycetes; Actinomycetales.